CAAUUGCUCGAGGAGCUGAAUUGAGGCGUGAUUUGAGUUUCGCGGACGAAACUCUUUUUAAGGGGUGGAGAAUGUAAUAUACCAGAUUUUGGUAUAAAAAUAAAAGUAAAUAAAAAUAGUGUGAGAUACUAUUUUUAUUUGGUUUUUGAGAAACAAAGUAUAAGUCUAUAAUGACUUGUGCUGAAAUCGGAAUGAAAACAGAAGAUUUAUAAUUUUCUGUUGAAAACGAGACAGAUAAAUUAGCAAAAAAUAUAGAGUCUCAGAAAGUUAUGAAAAUUGGAGGAUAAGUCAGAAAUAUUUUUAUGAGGCUAGAUUUAAAGUUUCAUAUUUUUCUGACACCCGAAAGUUGAGAAAUAAAAUCCGAAAUCUAUCUGAUAAAGAUUACAGUUCGGUACAGUUUUCGGUGACCAAACGGGGUUGAAACUGAAAACUUAAAGUAUAUUCUUGUUCGGUACGUUAAACCGAAUAUGACUGUCAAAUUUGAGCUCAAACGGAUACUCUGAGAGCUCCGGCGAAAGAUAUCAGAUUUUAAGUUGCCUGGAGUGAAUAGUGUUUUUGGAAGCUUCAUAGAAAACUUGGAGAGCAAGUUU
Molecule: long non-coding RNA, 590 nt
Filed under: Ananas comosus (pineapple)
Lineage: Eukaryota; Viridiplantae; Streptophyta; Magnoliopsida; Poales; Bromeliaceae
Description: long non-coding RNA (ACOM_LNC044418)
Source: RNAcentral